AGUGGGCCUGGGAGGUCGGGCUGCCGGCCAAGAGCGGCGUGGCGGGCGGUGUGGUCGCGGUCGUGCCGGGCCAGUUCGGCAUCGCCGCUUACUC
This 94-nucleotide transfer RNA is filed under the name Pleomorphomonas sp. SM30. Its description in RNAcentral is "tRNA-Arg". Lineage: Bacteria; Pseudomonadati; Pseudomonadota; Alphaproteobacteria; Hyphomicrobiales; Pleomorphomonadaceae. The record is from RNAcentral. RNAcentral also lists the same sequence under 1 other name.